GAAUUAGAUGAAGAAAUUUAUUUUGACAUUGAAGUUAAUAAUGAUAUCGAUAAAGGGCCUAUUUCUCGAAAAGAAAAUGUAAUGAGUGUUAAAAAUAAACAUGAAGUUUGUUCAGUAUUGGAUGAAAGCAUUCGUUGUGAAGUUGAAGAAUAUAAAGUUAUACAUGUUGAUAAUAAUGAUGAAGGAAAAUUGUCAGUAACAAGAGCAUUAAAUCGUAGUUUGGAUGGGAUGGAACUAAAUGAACAUUUAAGCAAUAUGACCAAAGUGUAUAAACGGUUUGGAA
This is a non-coding RNA of Hydra vulgaris (swiftwater hydra), 283 nucleotides long. The record is from RefSeq and is a predicted model, not a curated record. NCBI's taxonomy places the organism in Eukaryota, Metazoa, Cnidaria, Hydrozoa, Anthoathecata, Hydridae.